This 424-nucleotide ribosomal RNA is filed under the name uncultured Chroococcales cyanobacterium. RNAcentral describes it as "bacterial SSU rRNA". It matches the Rfam family "Bacterial small subunit ribosomal RNA", at positions 355 to 794 of the family's 1533-position model. Lineage: Bacteria; Bacillati; Cyanobacteriota; Cyanophyceae; Chroococcales. The record is from RNAcentral.
UGGGGAAUUUUCCGCAAUGGGCGAAAGCCUGACGGAGCAACGCCGCGUGAGGGAUGAAGGCCUCUGGGCUGUAAACCUCUUUUAUCAAGGAAGAAGAUCUGACGGUACUUGAUGAAUAAGCCACGGCUAAUUCCGUGCCAGCAGCCGCGGUAAUACGGGAGUGGCAAGCGUUAUCCGGAAUUAUUGGGCGUAAAGCGUCCGCAGGCGGUCUUGUAAGUCUGUCGUCAAAGCGUGGAGCUUAACUCCAUUUAAGCGAUGGAAACUGCAAGACUAGAGUGUGGUAGGGGCAGAGGGAAUUCCCGGUGUAGCGGUGAAAUGCGUAGAUAUCGGGAAGAACACCAGUGGCGAAGGCGCUCAGCUGGGCCAUAACUGACGCUCAUGGACGAAAGCCAGGGGAGCGAAAGGGAUUAGAUACCCCUGUAGU